CAGUCGCCACGGUAAUACGGAGGGUGCAAGCGUUAAUCGGAAUUACUGGGCGAGAGCGCACGCAGGCGGUUUGUUAAGUCAGAUGUGAAAUCCCCGAGCUUAACUUGGGAACUGCAUUUGAAACUGGCAAGCUAGAGUCUUGUAGAGGGGGGUAGAAUUCCAGGUGUAGCGGUGAAAUGCGUAGAGAUCUGGAGGAAUACCGGUGGCGAAGGCGGCCCCCUGGACAAAGACUGACGCUCAUGUGCGAAAGCGUGGGGAGCAAACAGGAUUAGAUACCCCUGUAGUCCCUGUCUCUUAUACA
This 301-nucleotide ribosomal RNA is filed under the name uncultured bacterium. RNAcentral describes it as "partial 16S ribosomal RNA". It matches the Rfam family "Bacterial small subunit ribosomal RNA", at positions 509 to 808 of the family's 1533-position model. The record is from RNAcentral.